AUGUCGGCGACCUCCAUCUUCUUCUCUGCCAUCGCUAUCAUGCUCCUUUCCACUACCAUCGCUGCCGAAUCUAGUGCCUCUGGUGGGGCCAAACCCAAGGUAACCAACUUCAUGGUGGAAGCAUGCAAGAAUGCCUCAAUGAAAAACAAAAUAUACGACCCCAACCCAAUCACGCAGGAGUUUUGCGUGUCGACCCUCAUGUUGGACAAUCGGAGUGCCGAGGCUAAGGAUCUCCAUAGCUUGAUACACAUCGCCAUCGACAUACUCAAGGGCCAAGUUGUUGCGGCGAAUGGUAAUGUCAAACAAAUGCUGCAAGACACCAAGAAUGGCACGGCUACAAUGCGUGCCCUCAGUUACUGCAUGGUGGACUACGAUCGAAUGGUGAGCAUACUCAACAUAUGUGACACAAUGAUAAAGGAGUACCAUGGUCGCAAGGGCGGAGCCAAUGAUGGGUUGCUGUCUUCUGAGCUGCCUGCCUGUGUGGAGAGAGUGGACAAACCUUUCAUCGACUGUUGGUUGGGCCUUCUUGCUAUGGAGGCGAAAAAGUUGUUGGAUGAAAACUUUGCGGUGGGCAUGUCGGUCACACUUAACUUUUGCCUUGCUAGCACCAUAUAG
RNAcentral lists this ribosomal RNA (615 nucleotides) under Triticum aestivum (bread wheat). RNAcentral's name for it is "partial small subunit ribosomal RNA". The record is from RNAcentral. Lineage: Eukaryota; Viridiplantae; Streptophyta; Magnoliopsida; Poales; Poaceae.